CCCUCUUCUUCCGGGCCCCUUUCCUCUCCCUGAACCGGGGACUGGAGAGCCGCUUGUCCGAAGGCAAGCUUGGGGAUCCUUCCAGCUAGCGGCCUCAGCAGUUUGGGGGCGGGGCGGGAGCGGAGGGGGCGACGAUGCGCCUCCAGACGUGACGGGGCUGCCGCCGCCGCCGCCGCCGGUGCCACCGCCCGUGCCAGUGCCCGUGCCGCCUCUGCCGCGGGAGGCCAGGCGUGAAGAUGUGGCUCUUUGGGAUUACACGUGGAGACAGGCGAUCGGGAUCGGCCCCGGGGAGCGCCGGCUGGUGAGACGCGCUGCGCCCCCCACCCCCUUGUGCCCCGGAGAAGCGGCUUCAAUGGCGCCAUCCCCCAAGAGGAGCCGCCGGAAAGAUGCCAACGCCUUGCCGAGCAUGUCCUCAACUUUUUGGGCUUUCAUGAUCCUGGCGAGUCUGCUGAUCGCCUACUGCAGAACAUGGCUGUGCUGUGAAGGAAGGUGCCUCCGUGCAUGGAAAAACGACAAGUCUUCCUUUUGCUGUGGAACUGAGGGCAUGAAUGAUUUAAUCUUUAAUAAAAUGUGUCUGCGACUUCAUAUUAGAGGGAUAUUUGAUAAUUGUGCUCUGUUGACAUUGCUGUCGACACAGGAUAUGGAAUACUAAUGUGGCCUUCCAGAGAAAAGAGCUGAUUUAGUUCAUGUAUCAUCUUGUUCAGUAAUCAGGACUUCAUGUGCGUGCUGGGGGUCUGGAAUAAGAAGAUGCAGAGUGGCCAAAUAGAUGCAGAAAAGUAACAUAAAGGUUUUUCAGAAGGAAGUCAAGUCAUACUAUUUAGGGAAAGCCUAGAAACAGAGAAGGUCAAAGCAGGGUUUGGGCAUAGAAUAUAGUAGAGAGAACAGAGAAUGGCAAAUCUGGGAGGCAGCUUAGACUGGAGAAUUUCUUUCAGAUUUGGAAUAGACCUUAGAUCAGAUAAUAUCAGAGUUGAGAGAGAACUUAAAGAGUAUCUAACGAGUAUAGUCAUGCACUUGAAGAGAUUGUGUAUGCUUUACAUAGAAUUAAUCAAUCAUGAACAUAUAUAUUUUUAGUAUUUAUUUUUAGUUUCCAACAUUCAUCUUUACAAGAUUUUGAAUUUUAAAUUUUCUCCUCCUCCUCCCCCUCCCCUCUACACUGAUAUAGACCAUACAUGUGUGAUCAUAUUAAACAUUUUUCCACAUUAGUCAUAUUGUAAAAAAGAAUUAGAACCAAAGGAAAUAAGCCAUGAAGAAGAAAAAACAAAACAAAACAAAAAGGGAAAAUAGUCUGCUUCCAUCUGCAUUCAGACUCCAUAGCUCUUUCUCUGGAAGUGGGUAGCAUUUUCUGUCAUGAAUCUUUUGGAAUUGUCUUAGAUCAUUUCAUUGCUGAGAAGAGCCAAGUCUAUCAAAGUUGUUCAUCAUACCAUAUUGCUAUUACUGUGUACAAUGUUCUCCUGGUUCUGCUCACUUUACUCAGCAUUAGUUCAUUCAAAUAUUUCCAGGUUAUUCUGAAGUUCGCCUGCUCAUCAUUUCUUGUGGAACAAUAAUAUUCCAUCACAUUCAUAUACCACAACUUGUUCAGCCAUUUCCCAAUGGAUGGGCAUCACCUCAAUUUCAGUUCUUGACAACCACAAAAGAAGCUGCUAUAAGUAUUU
This 1652-nucleotide long non-coding RNA is filed under the name Phascolarctos cinereus (koala). RNAcentral describes it as "lncRNA (ENSPCIG00000031611.1)". The record is from RNAcentral. Lineage: Eukaryota; Metazoa; Chordata; Mammalia; Diprotodontia; Phascolarctidae.